Fundulus heteroclitus (mummichog) is the source of this 640-nucleotide long non-coding RNA. RefSeq lists it as uncharacterized. Lineage: Eukaryota; Metazoa; Chordata; Actinopteri; Cyprinodontiformes; Fundulidae. The record is from RefSeq and is a predicted model, not a curated record. The transcript is spliced from 6 exons.
GUGUCCAUCAGUGUUUCUCCAUCAGUGGGUGUAGGUGUGUGUGUGUCCAUCAGUGGGUGUAGGCGUGGGUGUGUCCAUCAGUGGGUGUAGGUGUGGGUGUGUCCAUCAGUGGGUGCGGGUGUGUCCAUCAGUGUUUCUCCAUCAGUGGGUGUAUGUGUGUCCAUCAGUGGGUGUGGAUGUGUCCAUCAGUGUUUCUCCAUCAGUGGGUGUAGGUGUGGGUGUGUCCAUCAGUGGGUGUAGGUGUGGGUGUGUCUAUCAGUGGGUGUAGGCAUGGGUGUGUCCAUCAGUGGGUGUAGGUGUGGGUGUGUCCAUCAGCGUUUCUCCAUCAGUGGGUGUAGGUGUACGUGUGUCCAUCAGUGGGUGUAGGUGUGGGUGUGUCCAUCAGUGGGUGUAGGUGUGGGUGUGUCCAUCAGUGGGUGUGGGUGUGUCCAUCAGUGUUUCUCCAUCAGUGGGUGUAGGUGUGGGUGUGUCCAUCAGUGGGUGUAGGUGUGGGUGUGUCCAUCAGUGUUUCUCCAUCAGUGGGUGUAGGUGUGUCCAUCAGUGUUUCUCCAUCAGUGGGUGUAGGUGUGGGUGUGUCCAUCAGUGGGUGUAGGUGUGGGUGUGUCCAUCAGUGUUUCUCCAUCAGUGGGUGUAGGUGUGG